This 465-nucleotide ribosomal RNA is filed under the name Vreelandella stevensii. RNAcentral describes it as "partial 16S ribosomal RNA". It matches the Rfam family "Bacterial small subunit ribosomal RNA", at positions 338 to 795 of the family's 1533-position model. The record is from RNAcentral. Lineage: Bacteria; Pseudomonadati; Pseudomonadota; Gammaproteobacteria; Oceanospirillales; Halomonadaceae.
CCUACGGGAGGCUGCAGUGGGGAAUAUUGGACAAUGGGCGAAAGCCUGAUCCAGCCAUGCCGCGUGUGUGAAGAAGGCCUUCGGGUUGUAAAGCACUUUCAGUGGGGAAGAAAGCCUUGGGGCUAAUACCCUCGAGGAAGGACAUCACCCACAGAAGAAGCACCGGCUAACUCCGUGCCAGCAGCCGCGGUAAUACGGAGGGUGCGAGCGUUAAUCGGAAUUACUGGGCGUAAAGCGCGCGUAGGCGGUCUGAUAAGCCGGUUGUGAAAGCCCCGGGCUCAACCUGGGAACGGCAUCCGGAACUGUCAAGCUAGAGUGCAGGAGAGGAUGGUAGAAUUCCCGGUGUAGCGGUGAAAUGCGUAGAGAUCGGGAGGAAUACCAGUGGCGAAGGCGGCCUUCUGGACUGACACUGACGCUGAGGUGCGAAAGCGUGGGUAGCAAACAGGAUUAGAUACCCCUGUAGUC